UACGUAGGGAGCAAGCGUUGUCCGGAAUCAUUGGGCGUAAAGCGCGCGUAGGUGGCCAUGUAAGUCCGCUGUGAAAGUCAAAGGCUCAACCUUUGAAAGCCGGUGGAUACUGCAUGGCUAGAGUACGGAAGAGGCGAGUGGAAUUCCUGGUGUAGCGGUGAAAUGCGCAGAUAUCAGGAGGAACACCAGCGGCGAAGGCGGCGCUCUGGGCCGGAACUGACGCUGAGGAGCGAAAGCGUGGGUAGCAAACAGG
This 253-nucleotide ribosomal RNA is filed under the name uncultured bacterium. RNAcentral's name for it is "partial 16S ribosomal RNA". It matches the Rfam family "Bacterial small subunit ribosomal RNA", at positions 524 to 776 of the family's 1533-position model. The record is from RNAcentral.